This 1767-nucleotide ribosomal RNA is filed under the name Triticum aestivum (bread wheat). RNAcentral describes it as "partial small subunit ribosomal RNA". Lineage: Eukaryota; Viridiplantae; Streptophyta; Magnoliopsida; Poales; Poaceae. The record is from RNAcentral.
AUGUCGCCGAGCGUAUCUGGUCGCGAUAACUCCCAUAGUAGCGGUGAUGAGUGGGUACCAAGAAGUCAACGACCACGGCAACAGAAAGGGCGAGCAAAGAAGGCAACACCUAUAGAGGUUGGUCUGCUUGAAUCCUUCAACCCCUUCCCACCCCUUUUCAUCGCCUCUAAUGCAGACAUGAGACCAAAAGCGCUAGGGGAUUUUGCUCCUCGUGUUACUCCAAUUCCAGUCGUUACUCCACCUGCAGUUGUUGCUUCAGCUCCUCAAGAGCAUGUCAACACAAAGGAAAGAGAAGGUACUAAAGAAGAUUGUACAACUAUGGUGAUCAAUGAUCGCAAAGUUACUCCGGUUCCAAGUGUUACUCCAUAUGUAGUUGUUACUCCAUCUCCUCAACAACAUGAUAUCACAAAGGAAAGAAAAAGUACUAAAGAAGAUGGUACAACUAUGGUGACCAAUGAUCGCAAUUUGUUGGCAUGUACCCGAUUUGCCUCGCGUUGUAUGGAUGAAAGUGCUCCCAAAGAUAUUGGUCGCAGUCCACAACCAAUAACCAAGUACCACGCCACAACCAAGAAGCGGAGCCUGUGGGGGCAAGUUUCACCUAUGGUUGGCUUGAGGAUGGAUAAGUGGACCAGAGCAGCACGAGCAGGAGAAGCAUCUGGACGGCGAGGGGCUCAAGAGCUGGAGUGCGAGCGGGACGACGAGCUAGAAGGAGAGCAGGACGCCGAGCAAGAUGCUGAGAGGGACGGUGAGCAGGAUGCCGAGCAGGAGGAGCCAGAGACAGCGCCACCUCCGCGAGAAAGUACUGAAGAAGAUGCUACAACUUUGGUGAUUAAUGAUCGCAAUGUUACUCCGAUUCCAACUAUUACUCCAUAUCUAGCUGUUACUCCAUCUCCUCGAGAGCAUGCCGACACAAAGGAAAGAGAAAGUAAUAAAGAAGAUGCUACAACCGUGGUGAUCAAUGACCUCAAUCUGCCAGGGCAUAGUUUACCAUCCAACGUGGUAUCCCCUCGGUCUACGGACCAGUCCGAAAUCCCACAAAUCGGACACAAACCAGGGGGCUUUGCGUGUGUCCAGACCACUGCCACCUACAUGUUCGCCACCCCGCACCCACUCAAAUCCUCUCCCGCGCCUUCUCUCAGUGAUGAGGAGAAGCACAAGGUGGUCGGCCUUGUGAUUGGCUGGCAGGGCCGUCAUGCACGGUGGAUACAAGCAAGCAUGUCGGCAACCUUGCCGGAGGUGAGCGACAAUGUCCGGAAGAUGAGCCGGCACCCCUGCCUGCGCCGAUCCAUGUUAGUCUCACCAUGGAGGAAGAGUAGGCACACUUCAUCGCCGUCAUGGCGGAGGAGCAGCAGGCGCCCGGCUGGUGGAGGGCCAAACUAUGGUGAAUUCGCGAGCGAGGAGGCCGUGGCAGCCAUGGCCGCGGUGAACCUGAACUUCGUCGAGGAGCAGCAGACACUCGACGAGGCCACAUGCAGCGGUCGCGCGGUGGCAUCAAAAGUGCAAGUGGUAUGCAAUGGGAACGCCAAACAGUUGUGUGCCAUUGGCACCGCUACAACCAUGAGUGAUACGGGACGCCUCGGAAACGAUCUUUUACGGUGCCAAAGAACUCACAAGGAGCAGCAACAAACUCACUCGAUACUUGUUUCAACAAACUUUGUUUCUCUCAAGUGGCAAGAACAAAAGGAAACACUCUCAGAUAAAUUGCAGCGGACAACUAGCUGGGUUUACAAGGAUGCAACCCAAACCAUGAAACUUGUGAACCUAUGA